Molecule: long non-coding RNA, 426 nt
Organism: Passer montanus (Eurasian tree sparrow)
Lineage: Eukaryota; Metazoa; Chordata; Aves; Passeriformes; Passeridae
Exons: 3
Source: RefSeq, a predicted model, not a curated record
CAGCUUCUGCGUGGUGUGAAACCUGGUUCCCUCCUCUUACCUCUCCACUGGGCACGGGCUUGCUUGCAGCCACACCAGGAGCCCUCUGCCUGCUCGGUCUCAGCUCAGCAGCUCUCGGCAGCAAGCACCACCCAUGGUCAAGCCCUGUCCUGUGGGAAUCACUGCCAGAGUCAGAGAGGACAUCAUCUAGAAGAACACCUUAUUCUCAGUUGUAGAUCUUCUCUUGACCAGACCAUACUCAGAUUUGGCAAUAGUGGUCCCGUGAGGCUGGAGUGUUGGCAGGUCAAAUCCUCAUCACCCUGAGCACCUGUGUUAUUCUGGGGUCCUAGGACCGGCUCCUCUCAUUUUCACUGCUGCAAGGGAAGGACUGGGCACUUCAUUUGCAGUCCAACUGCAGAGCCUUGGCAGUCUUCCAGAGCUGAGAUU